GGAAAGUUCCUUAAACUUGAUAAAAACCAAUUUUGAUCUGUGAGCAUUAGAUAUUGAACUCUGAAUCAUAAAGUGUUCACAUGACAAAAAUCCAGAUUUGGCUACCCUAAUAUACUAAUUCAUAGAAGACAUAAUUAUGCUUUUGGAAUUCAAAAAGGUUUACAAUGGUUAGUUAGUGAUUGUAUCUCAACUGUGUGGAGUUCAGUAUCAUCUCCACUGAUGCGGAACAUAAAGCAAAAAUAUUAGUAUCUUAAAGAUCCAUAGCCCACAAAAACAAAAAUUAGAAGCUUAAUGCCAUGUACAUGACCUCAUCAAGCUAUAAUCUGGAUGUGGUUGGUCAUUGUACUUCAAGAGUUCAAGGCAUCUAGCUGAACAGCUUCUUCUGCGCUAAACUAGAGCACAAAUCAUAUACAGAGAAAUAAGAUGUCUUUUGUUGCAUUCCGUCCAAAGCCAAGACAUAAGCCUAUCAAAUAACCCACACAAAACGACCUCAUUUGGAUGGUCACCUGGUCACCCACUACUCGAACCGACCCUUCAACUCAAACCCUGCACAACUGAAGUCUCCGGCCAUCCUGUUAUGGGCUCAAAAAUCUUCCGAGAAAAGGAGUCCUCAGUCCGGCGAGCUCGCUAGCCAGAUAUAGAGGGCCCAAGCCGCCGUGGAGGACACCAGAGCCGGAGGUUGAGAAGAGGUCCGGACGGAAGCAAGAUUGAUUUCGGGGACGAGAGAGAGAGAGAGAGAGAGAGAGAGAGAGAGAGAGAGAGAGANNNNNNNNNNNNNNNNNNNNAGAGAGAGAGAGAGAGAAUGGGACGAGAAUUUGAGGGAGAGUCGAGACAGAAAUAAGAGAAUAGAUGAGAAAUAGCCUUGAGUUAAGAGUAUGAGAGAUCUUAGCCGUCUAUUGAAAAUAAACGGUCUAGAUCUUCUUAUUAGGAAGUAUUAGCAGAGGUUCAUUAUGAGAGGAUCUGGAUCCGUCAAAUGAAACCCGAGGAUCAUUAUUGGAUGGAUAUUGUUUAAACUUAAUUAUUUUUAAGACGUUAAGUUUUAAUUACAAAAAACUUCAAUAUAAUUAAAUAUGAUUUAUUUUAUAUCUCUGAUAUGAAACCUUUUCGGUUGUUCCUGAAAGAUCAUAUGCGUUAAUCUAUAGUUAGUUUUGUAGUGUUCAAUUGUCUACAAUGACAGACAGAGAAGAUUGAUUGCAAGUUGCAUAUUUCAUUGUACACUACAGCUAAAUUUUCGUGUGCACCUGUGUCGGUAUAUAUUUUGGAUGGAUGACUCCACUCAUGCAGCUAGGGCGGCUCCGGCUAGGGUACAGAAAAUCCCUCUUUGAGAUAGAUAUUCUGGAAGUUGGAAUCAUGGGAUCAUAAUCAAUAGGUUGGAAAUUUCAUUAUUAUUUCUCUUUCUUUUU
RNAcentral lists this long non-coding RNA (1403 nucleotides) under Fragaria vesca (wild strawberry). RNAcentral's name for it is "long non-coding RNA (FVES_LNC001169)". Lineage: Eukaryota; Viridiplantae; Streptophyta; Magnoliopsida; Rosales; Rosaceae. The record is from RNAcentral.